GCCAUUUUUCGGAUGUCAAGGCCACUUGAUUGACUUUGACUCACUUUUUUACUCACGACUGAACAAAUUUUUUUUUAGGGGAAAAAGUUCCAAACAACCCAUUUCGAAGAGAUUUAGGGUUCGGGGGUUGGUUAUAUUUAGGGAAGGUGUUAGCACCCUAAAUAUUCGUAGUACUCUACGAGAACCUCUUGAUUUUAUUUAACUUCUUGUGCUAUAACUUGCUUGCUUUUGAAAAGAUGAAAAUGGAAUUGGAUGAUGAGUUGAAAAGGAAAAGAAAAUUGACUUUAAUUGAAGAGAAAAAAGGAAAAUGUUUUUUAAUUGAUUUGGAAGGACAAGGUCCUCUGCCUACGUACCCGUGAGGGAACAAAACCUCGUAGUUCGGGGUAGAAAUUGACGUUUGAUUGGUUGAGUGUUUUUUAUUAGAUUUUGAAAAAAGGUUUUGAAAAUAAAAAGCCAAGUGGCAAAUGAGAAUUGAUUUGUGUUUUUUUAGAUUGAAGAAAAUUGACUUGAAGUUGAAUUAGAAUUGAUUGGAAAUUUGAUUAAGAAAAAUAAAAUAAGAAGACGGUCACUUGAUUUAAGAUCAAGGUUUAUUGUGAAAAGUUCUUUUUAUGAAUUUUUGAUAUUUGAAUGUUUUUGUUGUUUUUGAAUAAAAAUAUGAACAUUAUAUAAGCAGAAUGAGAAAAAUGAAGUUAAGCUAAAUUGUGAAAUUAUUUUAACAUGGACCAGAAUAUUCUGGAGAGUAAUUAAGUUAAACAAAAAUAAAUAAAUAUUAACAUUUAAGUUUGGACCAGAGCACUCUGGAUUAACAAAAAUAUAAUAUUAAUAGUUACUUUAGGACCAGAGCACUCUGGAUUAAUUUAAUUAACAAUGACCAGAGCACUCUGGAGAAUAAUUAAAUUAAACAAAAAUAUAAUAUUAAUAGUUAAUAUAGGACCAGAACACUCUGGAUUAAUUUAAUUAACAAGGACCAGAUUGUUCUGGAGAAUAACUAAAUUGAACAAGAAUAUAAUAUUAACAUGUAAUUAGGACCAGAGCACUCUGGAUUAAUAGAGAGAAAAAUAAAAAUGCAUGAAAAAGAAAUUAAAAGUGCGGGGGACCAGAGCACUCUGGAUUAAUAGAGAGAAAAUUAAAAAAUGCAUGAAAAGGAAAUUAAAAAAAAUGAGAUGCUGGGGUUAAGCAAGGAAUAAAAGGGGGUGCAGGAAAUAGAAAAGAGAAUUGGGCUUUAAGAAAUCUGAACCGGGUCGGUUCUACGGGUCGGUCCAUGGGUUGAACCAGUGAACAUGUAUAUAAGGGUUGUGGGUCACAAAAAUUGCCAUUUUUCAUUGUUUUUCUCUCUCUUCUCUUAUUUCUAGAGAGAGAAGCUCUGCCUUCUCUCUAGAACUUCUUCAUCUUCUCCGAUGGAGAGAUGGUGGCCGGAGGCGGUUCCGGCGCGGUGGCCGGCGAGUUUUCGCGGCGGCGCCACCGCGCCGGAGUUAAAAAUGUCUCCUUUUUUUAUUUUUUUUCGUCCUCUCUCCUUCUUUUCUCUCCCUCUUUCCGAUUUUGCAUACAAAAAUUCCAAACAAAAGUUAAAACGUCCUAGAUCUAAAAGGAAAGAAAAUACUACUUUCUUUUCUUUUUGAACGGAUUUGUUUGUGACGGUUCGUUGUUUAUUGUUGUGAGAACAGUUUGUGUUCUUGUGACGUGUAUAUGGUGCGGUUUGGUUAUUAGAUCUGUGAGUUAGGGUUAUGAUUUAUGUUCUUUUGGUGUAUUUUCGGCCUGCUUGGGUUGGCUAGAAAACUGUUUUCUCUUUGUGUUUCUGCAAGUUGGAAGAUUGUUCUUUCCUUUUCGUGUGUGUGGGGCCGAGUCCCUUUGUUUCUUGUUUGUGUGUUGUAUUUAUAGAACUGGAUGGGAGACAUGGAACCUGUUAAAGGACAGACAGGAACUGCCUUGGCUUGGGAUUAAGGGGACAUGAAUGAGCUGGCCACAGCUGGGGAUUGGAACAAAAGAGAUCUAAUAUUUUCGGACAUAAAAAAAGAAAAUAAAGAAAAAUAGAAAGACUAAAAAAUAAAAAACUAAAUGAGUUAACUAAAUUAAAAGGAACUUAAAUAAAAGAUGGAAACUAAAAAUAAAUAAAAAAUGAAAAUUGAGAGAAGAGGGCCCGACUCGGAAUCAACUAUGAGGUAUUUUAAAAUACCUCCCUGCCGAAUUUUUGUUCGAAAGGCUGAGACCGGUCGUAACUAAAUGACAUGUGUCAGUGCUGUCUUAGGUCAAAAAUUGGAGUAUGACAAUACUUAAACACAAUUGUAACUGAAAGUUUAUUGCCACAUAUUUUAAAGAUUAAAAAUGGUACUCCAUUGAUGUUGUUGCGAAAUAGACACCCGAAAUAUGGUUUAUGAAUUGGAACAAGGUUUCAAUGUCAUGGUUUUUUUAAAAAUUUAUUGGACGUCGAAUACUAACAGGCAACAACACUUAAAAAGAGCUUUAGUUGCCCAUAAUUAAGUUUAAAACCACUAAAGGUGCAAGGCUUUCUUUUGUGCUAAGUAGCAAAAAUUUAUUGUCAAACUAUGUUUUGAAAUCACUAUAAGCAAAUAACAAGGGAAAACUAUUCCAAAGUUGGAAUUUUUCUCCCAUGACAUAUUUUGAGCCAUGGUCAGUUGUAUAUUGCUUUAUCAAUAGGUGUUUCUCAAUCCACAACAAGAGUGUUGAUUAAGGAUGGAAGACUAUAAGGGGAAGACGGAGAUAGGAAUACCAUGAUAUGUAGAGUGUUUCGUUGGGUACUCUAACCACACAAAAGUAUUUAUCUGGAACUCACAUACACAUUUACAUCAUCAUAAAUACAAAUUACUAAGCUGAUUACACCUUUUUCAGUUUAACAAUAAAUAUUAUUGUCUUAUUUUACAUUCAUAUACAAGAAAAUUAGAACAAAGUGAUAACUUACAGCUCUGCAAGCUGUUGAAAAGAAAGCAUCUUAAUGCAUACUUUGAUUAAAAAAAAAAAAGGUAUGUUACACUUACAUAUUUAAUUUAAAUUUUACUUGUUAACAACUAUAAUAAUUUUGUCCAAAAAAAAAAAAAACUAUAAUAAUAAUCAAUAUCAUGUUUCAAAACUUUCAAAAAAUAAAGGAGGGGGAGUUUUAGAAAAAAUGGAACAUAUGGAAGGAUGAGCAUACACUUUCUUCUAUGUGCAACAUUGAUGACAAGGUAGCUGAUUUAGUAUCAAGAACCCUAAUUUCCAAUGACGUACAACAUCAUUACCAUUUCACUAAUACUUGUUUUUUUUUUAAACAACAAAUUCAUCGUCUGGAUGUUUACUCGCUUGGAUGGGGUUCAAGAAUAAUAAUAGAUAAAACACAAUUGUGGAAUAUUGUGAAAAGGAAAAUAUUGGCUCAAAUCCCUAAAAAAAUAAAAUAUUGAUUCAAAGAAAAAAUAGGUAUUUGUUGCAUUAGUUUAGAAAAAUCAUAUGUACUAAAUAUAAUAUGUGUCCCUUAUUCAUCUUUGAGACAUGAUCACUAGUUACUCUCAUUUGUAAAAUAAAAAUAAAUUGUGUUAACUAUAUUAUUUAUCUUAGGAAUAUGCACACUCCAAUAACAAUAGACGACUAUCAAGCUACGACGUCUAAGUGAAAGCAAGAUACCUCUCUUGAUCAGGAUUUUAUGUUUUAUGUCUUAAGCUUUGUACAUUGUCUUGCAUAUAUUAUAUUUGCAUAUGACAUUCUAUAAUUAAUUUUUAGUUUUUCGAAAGACAAGGAAUCAGUGAUUAAGAUAGGUAUGAAGAAUUAGCUGCAAUUUUUAAACGGUAAUUAACUAUAUUAUUUUAAAUGAUAUUUUAUAGCUUUUUUUUUUUUUUAUACAAUUUAGUUUUUUCGAUUAACAACUAAUAAAACUCAUAAAAUAAAAUGCGGGAAAAUAAGAAUUUUUUUUGGUUCUGAUUACAUGUUUUGCAUUCCCACAAGCACCACCAAUGAUGACAAAAAUACAAUACUAAUAUUAACAUUUUAAGUUGUUGAAUAUUAUUUGAAAUAGAGUUUUUCUCUAAUCUCUGUUUAUAUUAUCAAUGUUUAAAUUAGUAAUUGUACUAACCCAAUAACUGAAAUUAAGUUAUACAAAGAAGAAACAUAGAGUAUAUAUAUGUUAGCACAAUACUCAAACAAAAAAGGAUGGAAAGAAGGGAAACAAUAUAUCUCUAUUCAUCAAAUUUUUAGUUCUUAUAUUUAUAUAUGACAUAUUAUAUAUUAAUUUAUAUAAAGAAACAUAAUCAAAUAUAUACAUAUUUUAGCGCAGUAGAAAAAGCAGAUAGACGAGCACGUAGACGCUAGUAGCAAAUUAUGGGAAAUUAAAUUUUUACCAUUUGUAAAAGAAUGCAUGGGCUGUGAUAGUAAUUACGAAACUUCAUCUCACUAGUGUCGUGUACGAACUUACUACUAUCUAGAAUUAUGUAAAAGAAUUUUUUUUGGAACUGUUUCGGUAAAGAAAGUUAUCUUAUAAAAUGGCUACACGAAACAAAAGUUUUGGAUUUAUUAUUAGUUAGAGAUUAGAGAUGAUAGAUAUAGAUUAGAUCGGUAUAAUCAUCUACGACAUUCAUGUACUCACCAAUGCUGAGCUUUAUUCUCAUAUUGUUGCCAAAUUAGAGAAUCAAUAAAAAAAUGAUUAGAAAUAAAGCCCAAAAUGAAUCAAUAAUAAUAAUAAUAAUAAGAAUGAAGUGAUGUAAAUGUAAAUGACAAACCUCUUGUUGAAACUGCAAAGUUUGAGUGAGAGACUGAGACUAUUAAUUGACAAUUGAUAUGUGAUGUUGUUAGUACCUGCGUGCAGCGGUGAAGUUAGAGUAAAUGUGACGAGUGAGUCGACUACUAGAAAAAUCAAAAUUAGUGAAGGAAAUUAUGAAAUUUCUCACAAAUUCCUUGGUCGCAAAAUUUAGUGACGGAAUUAGAGAGGGAUUUCAUGUUUUCCCUCACUAAAUAUCCCUCACUAAUUUUUGUUUUUUUAGUAGUCAAGGGAUAAUUUUCUACUAUUGUGAAUGCUCUAAACAAUUAUAUUUCUUUAUAGCUAUUGAAGAGAAUAUUUUUUUGAAAGAAUAACUAUUGAAGAGAUUGAAAGUAUUAAAAUAAAACGAAUAAAUUUAUCGAUCAAGGGAUAAUUUGCUAACUUUUUUUAUUUUCUUACUUUUUGGUAAAUAGAUUUGUUUGAGGUAAUAUAUUAUUGGGGUAUCUUAAAAUAAAAUGUAUUAAAAUCAUUCAAGAUAAAUAAUAUUUGUUUGAGGUUCUGCUUGCGUGGUAACUGCAAGGGAAAAUAUUGUUAGAUUAAUAUAAGUUAUUCGUCAUUUUUUAUCUAUUAAUUAAGGAUUAAGGAUGAUCUAAGUUACUUACCACCAUAAUCUGCUAACUAAGGAUGUUCUUUAUCAAUUGGAGACUAAAAGAAGGAAAAAAGAAAGGAAAGAAAAAACAAAGAAAUGAGAGUACGUUUAUGAAGUAAACAAAAAGAUAAAAUAAAAAUGUCGGAUAGAAACUAUCCAUUGUUGUAGACUAGUUUGUUUAAGAACAACAUACACAUUCUCGUGAACUUAGAACAGUUAGCAGGAACAUUAGCGGGGGUCAGGAUUUAAAACCCAACUUACACUUAUACAAUAAUGAUCCUAUUUUCAAUGGUUUAAAUUAGACAUUAUUCGUGAUUAAAACUAAAAAAUAACAAAAUAUUUCAGAAUAAAACGAAAAAAAUUAACCAAUCUAUUUAUGUAUCUCUAUAUGAUGGAAAUUGUUUUCAGCAAUCCAGUUGCUUUGUUGGUGUAUGUUAAUUACUUAUAGAUUAAAAUAUGGACAAUAAUAAGAAGAAAAAAUAGAAUAAAGACAUCUAAUUACUAUUGUAAGAAGUAAGGAAUGAUUUACCGUAAGUGAGCAACGUCAUUCCAUGAACAAAGUUUCUAUUUGAGCGUGUAAUGAAUUAAUGGAGAAAUUAAAAAUAGGGAAAUGCUUUUUCUCCCGAGAGAAUGUCAAGCGAAUCGACCACGACAAUAGCUGGUUAGUUUUGAUUGGUAGUUUAUUCCUUGAUUUUCUUUUUUUCAGCAAACACCUCUUUGUAUUCAGCCAAACUGCAAACUGUGAUUGAUUAGUUUUGAUUUGGGAAGCUUUUGCUAUGUUUUCUUUCCCACUAUAUGGCAUCGCUCUUAACAAUAUAUCAAUGGAAAGAGUAGCUAUUAAUGGAAAAUUGGUAAAUUAAUAGUUAUAUAUAUAUAUGUAGCAAUUGUGUGUUUGUGAAAAGUAAGUAACCGUAACUAAAGUUAUUCAACGUGUGUGUGGUGAGCAGUUAACAAUGUGGAAAUUAAAACUGAAAAAAAAAAACUAAAAAAAGUGGAAAACAAAACUGCAUAGGGCAUUUUCAUAUUAGAAAAAAAACUAUACCAAAACAAAAGUUGUGUCUUUAUUAUUAGUUAGAUCUUAGAGGAUAAUAGUUAUAGAUUAAAGUAAUGCUAACAACUUAUCCUAGGAGCAUAUCCCAGUUCGUUGGAUAAUGCAUUAUUAUAUGCAGGGGUCGGGGUUCGAAACUCGGACAUCCAACUUAUUCACCUUAUAAGGUGAAUUCUUGCCACUAGACUAGCUGACAACAAAAAAAGUAAUACUAACAACACUCUCUUUUGACCACACAAUAAGAGGGUGAGUAUAAUAGAGAAUGUUGAAAAGUGAGUGUUGUUAGCAUUCCUCUUCAGUCAUUUUUAUAAGUGAAAACUAACUAACUUUAAAAUUUGAGUUUUAUUUAUAGAUAGCAUUGACCAGGUGUAGUUAUGAAUAACAACAAAAAAAUAAAGGUGAGGCCUAGGUUGCCUUUGAAAACUCAUGGGCAAUUUACCUAAACCAAUCAAAAGUUUCCAUGUGUACUCCAUUAGAAUAAUAACAUUUAUUAUUUUAUUUUGCAAAAAUUUAGCAAGUAUUUUAUUAUUUGCAUAUUCACCCUAUCUUAAAUUAAUGAUUUUUUACAAUUUAAACCAUCACAAUAAUUAAAUUUCACCUCUAAUUCAAUCACUCUCCAAACCUCUUUUUUAGCUUGGCAAAAAUCAUUAAAAAUUAAAAUUAUCACCCCUGGGAAUCAAACCUGGGUGCUCCCACCUAUUUAAAAUGUACUCUGGAACCACUUGAUCAAUACAUUUUUUAUGAAAUAAUUUGGAAUUCAAAAUUAUGUUAUUAGUGAGCAAAUUAUUUUAUUUUUAUUUGCAGUGCCUUUAUAACCUAGCUUUAGUGAAAAAAAAAAUCAUUUUAUGUGUGUAUAAUUAUGAAGUAGUAAAUUUUUCUUAAGAAAAAUGAAUUCAUUCAAUUGAUUUUUUAUAUUUUAAAUUUCAUUCUUUUUUAUAAAUUCAUACUUUUAUAUAGAUUCGAUGACCUACGACAAUGUUUCAUUUGUGAUCCACCGAAUUAUGAUUUAUUUUAGGUACUAUUUUUCAUUUGGAUCAGAUAAAUUGUUUAAAGGUAAUAAUUUUUUUUUUGCAAGGUCUUAUAAGUUAUAACCUAGCUUUAGUAAAAAAAAUCAUUUUAUAUGUGUAUAUUUAUGAAAUAGUAAAUCUUUCUUAAAAAAAAUGAAUUCAUUCAAUUGAGUUUUUAUAUUUUAAAUAUCAUUCUUUUAUAUAAAUUUAUAAUUUUAUAUAGAUUCGAUGAACUACAACAUUGUUUCAUUUGUGAUCAAACGAAUUAUGAUUUAUUUUAGGUACUAUCUUUCAUUUUGAUCAGAUAAAUUGUUCAAAGGUAUUAAUUUAUUUUUUUUUUGCAGUGUCUUAUAAGUUAUAACCCAGCUUUAGUAUAAAAAAAAUAAAUCAUUUUAUAUGUGUAUAUUUAUGAAAUAGUAAAUAUUUCUUAAAAAAAAAAAAAUGAAUUCAUUCAAUUGAUUUUUUUUAUAUUUUAAAUAUCAUCCUUUUAUAUAAAUUCAUACUUUUAUAUAGAUUCGAUGACUGAUGGGAUAAAACCGCAAGUGCACGGUUCUACCAGAAUUCAGGGCAUUACAAACGCAACAUGUGGCAUAAAAAUAUUACUUUAUAUGUAUAUACUAUUGAUUUUACUGUUCAUUUAAAAUAUUUUAUUUGCUUAAUUGCACUUUUGGACCCCUAUCUUUUCAAAAGUUGCGGUUAUGGAUCCCUAACUAAUUUAAAUACAAAACAGUCCCCUAUGUUUUGAUUCUUUAGCAGUUUUGGACCCCCAAGGCAAAAAAAAAAAAAAAAAUUGACAAGUGGCACCUCACUUAGGGUGCCAUGUCAGCGUUGACCGAGUCAACAAUGAAUUGGGGUCCAAAAUUGGCAAAAAAUCAGAACAUAGGGGGUUGUUUUGUAUUUAAAUUAGUUAGGGGUCCAUAACCGCAACUUUUGGAAAGAUAGGGGUCUAAAAGUGCAAUUAAGCCUAUUUUAUUUACUAUUUUAUCCUUUAAUAAUAUUAUAUUAAAUUUGAAUUAGAAAAAUGAAAUCUCAUUAAAAUAGGAAAUAUACCACUACAACAGGAACAAUACUAUAUAUACUUUUUUUUUUUUUUUUUUACAAAAUACUAUACAUACUAUAUAUGAAGGGAAUAGAGACUUUGGGCUGAAUUUUUUAUAAUUUCAAUUAUACCCUUUAAACAAAUUUUCCUAUAUUAAUGUUACAUUUUUGGUGGUAUUAAAAAAAGAUAAGAAUUUAUAUUAUAUUUGUUAAACUACUGUGUUGUUGUGGUAAAAAAUAAACAUGAUUUUUUUGGGUUUGUUACAAUUUUAAUUUCACAAAUAUUUGUACUUAUAAUUUUAAUCAAAAUCAAAAUUUCAUAUAAAAUACCGUUCAUAAUUUACACAUGUCACGUGCCCGUUUUUUCGCUAGUUAUAUAUAGUAUUUAUACUAUAUAUAAAGAAAACUAUCUCUUUCAGCACUUUUGGGCAGGAUUUUUCUUUCCAAAAAUACCCUUAAUUUUUAAUACAAACAACACAUGUAACAAAUAAAUAAGAAUAAAUUUAAAUAUUAAAACAAAUGUAACAAACACGAUAUGUGUGUUUGGUUUUUUUCCUUUAUCAUUUAAAAAGUGUAACAAACUAUAUGAGUAUAUUUAAUAUUUGCUUUUUUUAUUAUCCCAAUUAUACCAUUAAAACAAAAUCCAUAAUCAUCAAUCAACAACAAGAAGAUCCAACAUUUUAAAAAAUAAAUAGAUAAAUUUAAAGGAAUUUUUUUAAGAUUCUUAUGUUGUUACAUAAUAUUUGGACAAGAUUCUAAUUCUCAUUAAUCUUUUCUCCCACGUCAAGAAUAUCUCUUUGCUUCUUCUGAUUCAUAUUCAUUCAUUCCUUAUUAUUCUAAUUUUUAACUCAAUUCAUCUUCCUAUAGAUUUGCAUCGUUUUUGCUGAACCAAGAAGGACUGUUAAGUAGAAGAAUUCCAGAAUCAUAGAUGUAAUCACAAUAGUUCUCAAUGACAAUGCUUAAAAAAAAAUUGAUUUUUUUCCCAAUCUAUCUCUCUCAAUCCCGAUCUACUCUCUAUCCCCUUAAACCCUUUUUUCCUAAACUAUUCCUUACCUCUCAUGCUCUCUCUUCUCCAUCGGAUACCAUUUCCCAUUCUAUCAUCUUCAUUGCAUUCUCCUCUUUCUCUUUCAUUUUUGACUUCUCAAUAAAAAAUCAAUCCCAGCUUCAAUUUUUUAUUGUCGAAUUCGAAUUCGAAUUUGGGGUGCGUGGGUUCGAUUGAGAGAGAGAGGGAUCGAGAUGAUGGAUAUAUAGACAACGGUGUUGAUGGUGGUUUUGAAAAAGAGGUUUUGAUGGUGGUUAUCUGGAUUUUCUCUGGAUUUUUUUUUAUGAAGGUGAUGAAUGAGGGAAAGAAAGAAGAUGAAGUAUGGGAUAUAAUGCUAGAUGUUGUUGGUUCACAGUAAGAUACAGUGGACAUGCAUGAUCUAACAAUCUUUCUUUAUUAAAAAAGAUCAAACGGUUUAUAUUAAAAAAAAUAAUAGGAUCUAUAGUGGACCAGGGGGUUCACCAUAGAUAUUUGAGGUUAAAGUUAAUUUAUUUGCAAACUGUGGGAAAAGUGAAGGACUAAAACGUGAGUUUUAUUAAUUGUGAGACCAAAAUAAAACCAAAGAAUUAAAUAAGCCUUUUUUUUUACUAAAGCUAAGUUAUAACUUAUAAGACAUUGCAAAAAAAAAAUUAAUACCUUUAAACAAUUUAUCUGAUCCAAAUGAAAAAUAUUAUCUAAAAUAAAUCAUAAUUUGGUUGAUCACAAAUGAAACAUUGUUGUAGUUCAUCGAAUCUAUAUAAAAGUAUGAAUUUAUAUAAAAGAAAGAUAUUUACAAUAUAAAAAAUCAAUUGAAUGAAUUUAUUAUUAUUUUUUAAGAAAGAUUUACUAUUUCAUAAAUAUACACACAUAAAAUGAUUAUUAUUAUUUUUACUAAAGCUAAAUUAUAAGUCACUGCAAAAAAAAAUAAAAAAUUGCUCACUAAUAACAUAUUUUUGCAUUCCAAUUUAAUUCAUAAAAAAUGUAUUGGUCAAGUGGUUUGGGAAACCAUUUCAAAUAAGUGGGUGUGUUUAAGUUCGAUUCCCACGAGUGAUAAUUUUAAUUUUUAAUGAUUUUUGCCAAAUUGUCCAUGAGUUUUUAAAGGUAAUUUAGAAAAAACCAAAAAUAAAUUAUAGGAAAACCUGUUCCCGCUCGUGUAUUCCUAAGGUAACGGUUACAACUUCCAAGUCUCUUGUACUUGUGCACUCUUGCUACAAUCUUAAAAUUCUUUUCAAAUCUUUUUCAUGGAUUCUCUUCUACUUCCAGGUAAUAUCAAAUCUAACUUUUUUUUUUUUUUUCCUGUUAUGAUCAAUCCAAUUAAUAUAAUCAUCCCUUUUCAUUCCUAAGAGUUUAUUUUAAUUAUAUGUUAACAGAAAAAACCAACGACGAUUCCAAACCAAAAAUGAAACAAAAGCGCAACAAGGCAACCAAAAUGGGCAUGGGUAGAGAAACACAGACUCAAUUCAGGUAACUAACAUAUUUUAUAAUUCAUCAAUUCCACCAUGCUUAUAGAUUAUAAUAAAGAUUCGUGACUCCGACAACAAUAUAAAAGUUUUUUAUGUUGUCAAAAUUGAAGUAACAUCGGCCUUAUUUGAUUACGAUAUAUUCUCCACAAUAUAAAAGAUUGUGAUGCCACUGUUAUUUAAAUUAUUCAAGUUGUUAGUAGUAUGUAAUCCAGACAACAUUCUUACAAUCGGCACAUUGGUGGCCUUGAAUCGAGAUAGAGCGGUUCAAAUUUCAAAAUCAGCAUUUUAGUUCUUAAAAAAUAAAAACAAAAAAAAAUUUGAACCCUUCGAUUUUGAUCCUAUUUGCAAAAUGUGUAAAUGUAGAGGAUUGACGACCAGAGGCAAUCUGAAUUCUAUUUAAAAUCAUGAAUUCCUUUACAUUGUUAUUUGAUUUUUUUCUCAAUUUCCAUUCUCUAUUUUUGUUUCAGACAAAACCGAGCUUUCGGUACCCCUUGGAACACAAACGAUAACAUUCCGAAAAAGCCCAUUUCGGACAACAUUACCACCAAACCAAAACCUGCAGUUCCACAUAAACAACCCAAACAACCAAUUCCAGCAACACAAGUUCCCACUGAAAUCACCACUUUAACACAACCUAAUGAUAAAAAAUCACCAGAAAAUGUCAAGCCCAUAAAGAACAAGAAGAGUGACACAUUCCCACAAAAGUUGGCAGAAAAAGCAAUGUUAAAGGAAAGUGAUUCUGCAGAGGAGCCUAAAACUCCAGCAACAACUUCUCAUGGUAGAGGCAAGAGUAAAGUGCAAGCUACACCGUUUUACAGCGCAGUAAAUUGUAGCAAAUGUCGUUUUGAUAAGCUUGAGACUUCAUCUUAUUGGAUUGGACAAAUCAAAUUGGCAGAGUCUGUUGGGAAACACUUUGUUGCCUCUGGAUUCUUCAAGCUUGCUUUGAAAUCUCAGGCUGAGGUUUGUGUUUCUUUAUCACAAAGUUUAUUUGUGUUUGAAUUUAGAGAAAUUUUCAAUAUUGUGAUGACUGAAUACCACAAAACUUAACUAUUCAAAGUUAGAUAUGUCAUGAACAUGUGUUUAUAAACAGGAAAUAAUAUUUGUGACCUUACAAGUUGAUUUUGUGCGGUUUGAGUUGGAACAAACUCAAAUUCUUAGACGGUAUAAGAGUUAGCUUCAAAAUUUGUUGGACUACCUCCUAUCCGGUUACCGUUGUUGAGCCACUCGAGGUCACACUACAUAUAUUUAAUUUUAGGUGUGAAGGAAGGUAUAUUAUGAGUUCCAUACGCAUUAAUUAUUAAUAUUUUAGUAAAGAUUAAUUAAUGCAAUUCAAAAUUUAAGAGAGUCGUGCAUAAAGUACAAGAAAUUUCUCUAGAUCUGACAUGUAAAUAUGGAGGUUGUAAUUUAGGGCUUACGAUUAUUAUUUGAGGACACAAGCUAGCAUCAAACAAGUGCUUAUAACUUUGGUGCUAACUUCUCUGAAAAACUACUUUGGUGCUAACAAGUUUUGGCUAGUUGGUUCGUGACUUGAGUUAUGUAUACGAUUUUUUUUUUUUUUUGUUGGUGGUCGGGGUUUGAACCCCAGACCUUACAUAUAUUAUGCAUUGUUCCUACCAACUAAGCUAAACUCACGAGGACAGUUAUGUAUACAAUUAAAAAAUAUGAUUAGUUUUAAUAACUUUUUUUUUGUGAUGUUUGAUUUGAUAUUUGGUGUGUUGGUUAGUCUAUUAGGAACCUUCGGAUUGAGCUUAAAAGGUAUUUGUCAAGGCAUGGGCACCUCUCCGACCACAUGAAUCAUGAUUCAUGAUGUAUUACAUGCAGGAAAAAUGAAAGUGAAAUGAGUAUAAUUAAUCUGUACUUGAAAAUAACAAAUACACAUAUAUUCAAAACUCUUACGCAUUCGGUUAUUGUACUCUUGCUUAUGCAUUUCAAUCUUAUAUAAUUUUGUGGUUUAAUCUCUCUUUAAUGGUGUGAUUGGUUUCAAUCUUAUAUAAUCUACAUUCUUCCAUUCUGAAACUCUGGCAAUGGUUCAGAGUUGGAUAUGGAUCUGUGAGAUUCGUUUUUGUUUCUAUCACCAUGGUUUUUACGCUCAUAUUUCUGCAGUAGAGAUAAACUCAAUUUCUUCUUCUCCUUCUUCAGUUUCAUUUUGGUUGUCUUUAACAUAUUUCUAUUGCAAAUUCUCUCUGAUAGUUUUUGUAAUGAUGCUUUAAGAGCAAGAGAGGCUUGAGUUUGCUGUGUAUUACUAGUGGUUGUGAGAGUAGAGUAAUAUUGUUGGGUGGAAGGGAAAUAAGUCACGGGAGGGUUUCGAGAUCUCAAUAAAAGAACCAAUUGUUAGAGAAGUAGAACUACUUUACUGAAAAUAAAAGAAACAAAGCAGUAAAACAGUAAAUAAUAAAGAAAGAAAAAUUAACUAAAGAAAAUAAAAUAACAUUUGGAUUCAUUUCAUUCCUUUAGAUGGUUUGUCAAAGACACUACAUAUAGGAUUGCUAUUGGAUAAUAAGAAGAUUGUCGUUGACACUUCUACUUUGGGCUGAAAAACACAAGUGAAAGACGAAAAUGUCUGUUGGCAAUUAACUGUCGCCGAUUAAAACACAUAAGUAAUAUUAUCAUGGCUCACGUUCUUUAUCAACUAAGUGGGAAAAGCAUGUGGAACUAUAGUCCCACAUAGCUCCAAUGUAGAUUCGCCCAUGCAGUGGAGCAAAUUAAGGUGGUUUCUUAGUAUGAAUAGGUUGAAAAUUCAUAUUUGUUUAUUCUAUGACUGGUGUUGGAAUCCAAUGGAUAGUUUAACUAGAUCAUUUUUUGAUAGGGGUUGUGUUUUGGGUGUGAUAGGCGAACCGUGUUUGGUUAGGGCUUGUUAUGGGUGUCACUUUUGUUUUGCGGAACUUAGGCUUUGUUUGUGAGUUUGGAGGGGAGAGGAAGGGAAGGCUUUGAGAGGUGGAAAAUAUGAGGGAAAAUUGAGAAAUAUGAUUUAAAUUUUUUAAACGAGUAGUUUUUUAGAGAAGGGUUUAGUAUUAUGAAGAAAAGUUAACCCCCAAAACUCUCCCCUCCCAUUUUUCUCUAUUUUUGCCACUGCUCAUUCCUUUUUUCCCUCCAGCUUGUUGAUAAUAAUAUAUGUUGAUUAAAAAAAACAGGAAUUGUUAGUAGUCUGCAAAUCAAAGAUCAAUACUAAAUGCAGAUACUUUAGUGUGAUAAUACCCUACCAUUAACCUUGAAUACAAAUUAAUCAGCUCUUACGUUCCGUAUAUUGCCAAUGAAUCUAAUAACUUUCUCAAAAAUAAAAUAGAAUAACAACUUAAACACAAAUACAGGAAUAUCCCAAAUCAGGACCCAUUUUGCAAAGUCUUGCUAACCUCAAAAUUUCCCUGUUAUAAUAAGAAACAAGUUUAUUUAUUUAUUUCUUAAUUAUAUCAUAAUAUUUGUACGAAGUUUUCACUGCAUGUUAGCAGUGAUUAAUCUCCGUCGAGGAACUUAUUAGACACACAAGAUAGAUUUUUCUUUCCAUCUAGAUUUUAUUCCAUACGCAUGAGCCAAAAAUUAUAUUGAACCCCUAAUCAGAUACUUAAGGGGUUUAAAUCUUUUACUACUUAAACCAAUUCAUUCCUGGUAACUAGUUUAAUUUAUAUUAAAUGAGAACUGAUAACAGAAUCAUUAAAAGAAGUGCGAAGAUAAAACAUGCAUUCCCAUCCAUAGUUAAUAUGGUUACACCAUAGUUAAUAGAAUUUGCCAUCUUAUAAAAUAAAUUGUAAAUACAUUUGUUUUAAAUCCUCUUAUAAAAAGAAAUUGUAAAUACAUUUGUUUUAAUUCAAAAAUCAUAUUUUAAAAUUUGAGGGUAUCAAAUACAAUUUCCACAUUGAUUAUGCUAUAAUUGUAAUAUAAAUUUUUGUUAACAAAAAAGAUCGUCCUAUCUUGUUUUUUAUUUAUAAUAAAAGUUGUCACAUCUUUGAUUUGUAAUAUAUACCAAUAUUUGUUUUUAUCAUUCAUUAUAUUUGUUGUCUUUUGGGAUUUUAUUUAUUAAAAAAAGGUUAAAAUAUAAAUAAAAACCUUUAAUGAACUUUCAUGAUCUUCAAAGAUUUUUGUUUGAUAUGUUUUUUAAGGUUAAGUAAUCAAUUGAGUGAUGUAAAAGAUGAACACGAUAUAUUAAUUAAAAACAUUUAAUAUUAAUUUCAAUUUUAUAAAUGACUUUUUUUUAAAAGAAAUUUUAAAUGACUUCUUGUAACUCCUAAAUGCUAAAUAAAAUUUAAUUGAAGCUAUUUCAGAACAUUAAAUUUUUAGUUAUAAAAGGGAUCAAACUUUUGUUUAUUUAUAACAUGCAAAGGAUGGAACAUAUGACUAAAAUUCAAUUUUGUGUUUAUGUUUUGAUCAUAUUUCUGUCUUUAUUUCUUGUUGUAACUUGUGGUAUGUCACUUUUACACCAUUUCAUAUUAACAAAAUUUUAUCAUUUUUAGUAACAUUCUCUUUGCUCAUCUGACAUUGCAGGUAAAGUUUACGAAUGUUAUAAUUACAUUGAUUGUCCAGUUGGUUGUCGCGCCUGUUAUAUGAGGUGCAUUGAUGGCCAGUGUAUUCCGUUUAUUAAAAAACUUAUAUUAUUUCAUUUGUACGUCAUAGUAGAGUAAGUAUUUGUAUUUUUAUAUAAUUUACCUCAAAGUUUGAUUUAUAAUUCUCAUUUUUUUUUAAGGUUAAAUAUGUUUUUAGUACUUAUAAAUGUGUCAACUUUUUGUUUUAGUUUCUCUAAAAUUUUCCUUCAACUUUUAGUCCCUAUAAAAUUUUCAAUCUUUACUUUUGGUCUCUCUUUUAAAGUAAACUCAUACGUAUAGAAUUCAUAUUUUUUAAUAAAAGUAUUCAGAAAAAUUCAUAAUAUUAUAAGAAUCACUCCAAAAAUAAAUUAGAAUUGUUUAACCAAACAUGAAUUUAAUAUGAAUUUUAAUAUUUUUGAAGGUUAAAAAUUCAUAUUUAAUUUGUGUUUUGUUAAAAAAUUCUAUUUUUUUUUAGAAAUUUUUUUUUGAAUAUUUUACACAUUUCUGCACAAUUUCAUUAAAAAAAUACAAAAAUUAAAUUAAAAAUAGGGACCAAAAGUAAUGAUUGAAAAUUUUAUAGGGACUAAAAGUUGAAGGAAAAAGUUUUGAGGGACUAAAACGAAAUAUUGACAUAUUUAUAGGGACAAAAAACAUAUUUAACCUUUUUUUUAUAUGCAUAAUGAUUUAUGUUUCUCUCGUAUUCUUGUAUAAUUAUAACUACUUUAAUAAAAAAAAAAUGAUUAUGAAGAUUAAUUAUUUAUUCUACUUCUAUGCUUGAUAUUCCUCUCACUCAAAUGACAUGUCACGAAAAACCUAUGAAAUUUUACUUUGCCACUUACAACCACCAAACGAUGAAGAUCAAAACGAGGUAUUCAGCGAACGCAAACAUUAAAUCAUAAAAGCGACGAGAUGUUUUUACAGUGACCAAAGCGAUGAUGAUGGAUUUCUCAAGUUAGGUCGUAGGGUACUGAUUUUAAAUUGUGUUAGUGUUGGUGUUGGGCUUUAGUGUUGUAGGUAUUGUGAAAGAAGAUUACACUACUUAAAAAACAAAAAUUAGUGAGGGAUAUUUAGUGAGGGAAAACAUGAAAUUCCUCUCUAAUUCCGGCACUAAAUUUUGCGACCAAGGAAUUUAUGAGGAAUUUCAUUUUUUCCGUCACUAAUUUCCCUCGCUAAUUUUGCUUUUUCUAGUAGUGGUUAAUGAUCGUGAUCUCUAAAAACAUCAAGUUGCUUCUGUAUAUGUUUACAUCUUUUGUCCUUGUUCUACAGUGACAAAAAUCCCUAAUUUGUUCAAAACUAAUAUUCUUAAUUAAAUUUUAGAUAUAAAAAUUAAAGUUCAUUUUUAAAAUACUCCAUAGAGUAAUAGCACCUACAUAGAGAAAAGAUGAUAUUAAAGUCACGACUCAAUUCUUAAUCGAAACUAAUCAAACAGAAAAAGAGCCAAGUUUGUGAUGUGAAAAUUGGUGAAGCCAUAGGUCUAAUUUAUAGUAAUUUUUAGAGGGUAAUUUGGUAAACUAAAUGGAUCUAAUUUGGCAUGAGAGUAAUUGCACGCGGUCGUUUUUAAUUUUCGGUUACAUAUAUUCUCUAACAUAAGUCUUACUAUUUUUUCUGUCCUUUUUAAUCAGUUUUAUUUCAUCAAUUUGCUAUUUUUUCGGUUGACUACUAUAUGCAUCCCUUACAUAUGGUCUUUCCUUUUUCUUUUUUCUUUGAGGGGAAGGUUUUUCCUUAUUAUUAAGGAAAAUCAAAUCAUAUUGUGUUUAAUUGUUUUAAUGCCACCUUGAAUAAAUUAUCUUUGACAUAAUUACAACCAAAUCAAUUGUUUCACAUCAUUUGUAAAAAAAUAAUUUGUCCAACAUCAUGAUUAUUAUUAAACUGGUGCUAGUCACACCCCAAAAAAAACAAGUUACACCCGAAUUUAUUUAAAAUUUUACAAUAAUACCAAAAUUGCCCUCUUCAUGUAAAUUUUUAAAAAUCCAUCUUUUAUGAUCAUUCUGAACCCUUAUCCCCUUUCAUCCACAAAUCACCAUAGAUGUGCAACCAAUAUCUGAAUCAACAUCUUUGUUAUUGAUCUGUACUAUAUUCAUAAAGGUUAGUGAAUUUCAUGAAUUUUAUUUUCGAUGAGUUUCUAUUUGUUUAUUGUUUGUUUUGGUAUGAGAUAUGUUCAAUUUAGGUUAGUGUAAAUUAAGUUUACUUAUGUUCAAUUUAGGUUAAUGUAAAUUUAGUUUACUUAUGUCAAUGUAAAUUAAGUUUACUUAUGUUCAAUUUAGGUUAAUGUAAAUUUAGUUUACUUAUGUUUAAUCUAGGUUAAUGUAAAUUUAGUUUACUUACGUUCAAUUUAGGUUAGUGUAAAUUCAGUUUACAUGUAUAUAAGAGGUUAGUGUAAAUUCAGUUUACUUACGUUCAAUCUAGGUUAAUGUAAAUUAAGUUUACUUAUGUUCAAUCUAGGUUAAUGUAAAUUUAGUUUACUUAUGUUCAAUCUAGUUAAUGUAAAUUUAGUUUACUUAUGUUCAAUCUAGGUUAAUGUAAAUUUAGUUUACUUAUGUUCAAUUUAGGUUAAUGUAAAUUCAGUUUACUUACUUUCAAUGUUAAUGUAAAUUAAGUUUACUUAUAUUCAAUUUAGAUUAAUGUAAAUUAAGUUUACUUAUGUUCAAUUUAGGGGUAUAUUAGUCAUUCUGGGGUGUAACUUGUUUUUUUUGGGGUGUGACUAGCACCAGUCUUAUUAUUAUUAUAAAAAUAAAAAUUAAGAAAUGUAUAACAUGAUUUUUGUUUUGUUUUGAAUAAACACUAUUAUACGGUAUUAUUAUUAUACAAUAUACAUUUGAAAAUAGAAGCAAAAGUAUAUUACCUUAAAAAAAACAUAUUAAUUCAAAUUAUAUAAAAAAUUAAUGGUUAUUACCAUAUCUAAUUAAAAUUAUUUUAAAAAGUUACACUCUUAUCAAAUCAUAUUUUUAUUAUUUGACAUAUAUCAAUUAUUCCAUUUAAAUAAUUAUUUUAAAAAGUUACUUGUUUUAUCUUAGAAAUUAGGGAUUUUUUGGUUAGUGUGUUCAAUAAAAUGGAUUCUUUGUACCCACAUGUUUUAUUCCUUGUUUAUGGUUGAGCAUAGGGGGUACGUCUAAAACUGUCAUUUCUCUGCGUUUUUGGAGAAUAAAAUGGGGGGUAGGACGAAAAAUGCAACAAAAAUGAUAAUUGAAUGACCGUUUUGUUUUGUUUUAAAAAGGCAGGACAAUUUCGUCAGUAGGUCAAAACACGAGGACCAAAAGUGUAAUUAAGCCUUUUUAAUAUGAAAAAAAUACUUUUAGAGGAUAACAUUAGACUACGUUUUUUUUUCUACUGUUGUUAGAACCCACCAUUUGACAACACUUUUUUCUUUUAAGCUCAUUGACAACAAAUUUUUUCCUUUAAGUGUUGUUAUAAAGCUCAUUAGACUGCGUUUUCUUACAAAAAAGCGUUAUUAUAGAUAACUACAGACAGAGUUUCUUGCUAAAACGGCUUUAUAUAGCCUACCUUUUGGCAACACUUAUUUUUAGAAGAGUUGUCCUAGGCUUUUGUCUUCAGUUUUCCAAUUCUAUUUUUUUAAAAUUACAAGCAAAUAAAAAAACAAAUUAUCUUUGCAAACGGAUAUAAAUAUCAAGGAGUAAAUGGUCAAUUUUCUCCCUGAAAUUGUAAGUUUCAUCAAUUAUCCCCCUGAAAUUAACAAAACUUCAAGAUAUAAGCAUCCAGUUAGUGAUAGUAAUAUUAGGUCCAAUCACAACCUAAGUACCUAAUCUAGGGUUGCACCUAUCACAUAAAUAAAUUACUUCCUAAUAAAACUUAAUAACUAACAAAUAAAUAAAUUAAAUAAAAUAAAUGACAUAUUAAAAUAAAUAAAUAUUCAACAAAAAUAAACAGAGGUUCAUCUUAAAACUGUAACCUUAAAAAAUUUAGUUAAACAUGGUAACUAAAAACAAAUUACUAAAGAUAAAAACAUACCCUAGAAAAUCAAGGAGAAGAUAAAAACUCUCCUGAAGCUCCAAAGUUGCCUUCCUCUUGAACUGCCAUAGUUCUGAACGAGAAAUUCAUAAUGAGAAAGACUGGUAUUUAUCGUGAGAGUUACUAUCUGGGUUUGGGCUAAAACUACGGGUUAAAAGACGCUUGUGCCCCGCAUUUUCAGAUGCACGAGGCACAUUGCUCGUGUGCUAGGCGCAUGGGUGUAUGGCAAAAGCCAUGCCCUAGGCGCAUGGAUGCCUAUCCCAUGUGCUAGGCGCAUGACUCCUCAUCCUGGGCCCAAAUUUUCCGAUUCUCCGUCGUUUUAAGUCUUCGUUUUAAAAUAACUUGCCUAAGGACUUGGGAACAUAGUUGCUCCCAUUUGUAAGUCUUUUGAGGCCUCUUGAAUCUCCAUUAUUUGUUUCCUUGAAUCUUCAUAAUUCUUUAGAUGUUCUUGAUUUGCCAAUUUUCAUGAUUUCUUCGUGAAUUACUUCAAAACCCCCUAAAACUACUACGUUUCGGGAAAGCUAGAAUUACAUACUCAAAUAUAGAAAACAUUACAAAAAUCCUGAAAUCAUAGGCAAUCAUUCUAAUACUCCUCCUUUUUGCUGCUAAAACCUAAUGAAAAUAGCAGAAAAACAUGCUAAGAAUAAUGUAAGAUGACCUGUCAUCAGCAACAUGGAAAGCUUCUCUUCUUUCAAUGGUUGGAAGGGUUCAACUAGUGAAAUAUGUUAUUCCAUCAAUGUUCGUUCAUUCUAUGUCAGUAUAUUCUUGGCCAACUAGACUGCUCAGGGAUUUAGAGAAGUAGAUCAAAAAAUUUAUCGGGAGUUCUGAUCUAAACAAAAGAAAAUCAGUCAUUGUUGCUUGGAAGAAGGUCGGUGUUCCUUAUACUGAAACUUCGUUGGGAUCUUUUACAUUCUGAAGAACAAUGGGCUUUUACAUUCCCUCAAUGAAGCAACUAACCUGAAACUUCGUUGGGAUCUUUUACAUUCUGGAGAACAAUGGGCUUGCAUACUGAUAGAUAUUUAGCAAGUGUACUAAUUCUCAAUUUAGCAAUAAGGUUAAUAUGUAGGAUGUGUAAAUUAUUUUAGUGCCCGAGGCAGUAUGUUUUGUGUGCAUAAAUGUAAAUAGACGGAAAAUAAAGAUUUUUUGGAAAAGAUAUAGAGAGAUGAGACUAGGUCUUUUGAAUCCUCUGAGUUUUCCUAUUUGGCACACUGUACCUAUUCCCUAUAAAUAUUUCUCUAAUUUAACGAUAGUUAACUAAAAUAGCCAUAAUCAAUCCCUUGACUUAGGACCCUCUUCUCAGAUUACAGUCCCUAAUUCCUUAGGUGAACUAAUAUUCUUCGAAGGUUUUAAGAACGUUAACCUAAUAUCGCAAAUAAACGAUUAUCCAUUCAUAGACUAACCCUGUUUAUUUGAACAAUUCAAUAAGGUCUAAGUUGAAAGCUAUGGUCAGUAAUCAUUCAUUCUCACGAAUUCAUGUUAUAUGUGAUCAGUAUAUAAAAAUCAUUAAUAACAAUUGAAUUGAAUCAAAACUAUAUUGAUAUUCAUAUAUGAAACAGAGUUUCACAACAACAUGAUUAGGUAUUUAGGUUGUGACAAGACUUAAUAUUGUUAUUACUAUAUGGAUGCUCAUAUUUUGAUAUUUAUAUCCUUAUACUAAUAACUACAUAUUUAGGAAGCAAGUGAUUAGUAAACUAGACGAAAGAUGCCGAAAGCAAGUUGACCGUAGUAGUAAGUACUAAGGAGGUAACAUUACUAAUACUGAGUAAAAUAUGUUGAACCUAGGAUGUAAGUAGUUUAGUAAUUAGGGAAACAAUCACCAAAGGGAAUAAACCUAGUAAGACCAUUGUCCUCGACCUCUAAGUAAGGUAGACGCUGAUAGGGCUACCCGUUUGUUGAACUAUCUAGGGGGAAGGAGAGUGUGUUAUGAGUGUCCUAAAAUUUUCAUUGCGUUUGUAAUAAAUAUUAGAAAACCAAUUUAAGUUUAUGUUUCAAUUACCUUUGAAUUAGCAAGACCUCGCACGUGUGGAUCACUGUGCAAUCUGCAGACGCAAUUAGCCAUCGAAGGGAUAGACCUAGAUCAACCGAGAUAGUAUAGACCCUGCACGUAAGGAUCACCGUGCGAUCAACAUGUGCAACUUGACAACCGACAAGGUUAGAACGUCCCAGCAACCUCAUCACUUGUAUAGUCUAGUCUACAUAAGAUAACUAAAUAUGGCAUGACUGUUAUUUAAUAUCCAACAAAAUAAAUAGGGGGAUUUAAAGAGUCAUAACUGCUGCUUACUUUUCUGCAACCAAAACAUGUAAAUUGUUCUCUUGCAAACUGUCGCGUCAUUUUUCGGAGAUCAAGGCUAUUUGAUUAGCUUUUGACUCACUAAUUAUUUCAUGACUGAACAUUUUAUUUUUUAAGAAAAAGGGAAAAAAAGUUCAAACCACCCCAUAUUGAAAAGAUUUAGGGUUCGGGGGUUGGUUACAUAAAGGGAAGGUGUUAGCACCCUUUAUGUCCAUAGUACUCUACGGGAACCUCUUGGUUUUAUUUAAUUUAAUGCGCUAUAACUUGCUUGCUUUUAAAAAUAAAAAAAAAAGUUAAUGCGAUGAUUAAAAGAAAAGAAGAAAGUGAGACCUAAUUUAUCUACAUUUUUAUUGAUUUGAAAGGACAUAGUCCUCUGCCUACGUACCCAUGAGGGAUCAAAACCUCGUAGUUCAGGGUAGAAAUUGACGUUUGAUUUGUUGAGUGUUUUUU
RNAcentral lists this long non-coding RNA (22124 nucleotides) under Medicago truncatula (barrel medic). Its description in RNAcentral is "long non-coding RNA (MTRU_LNC001896)". The stretch from base 8107 to 8275 matches the Rfam family "MIR2619 microRNA precursor family". The record is from RNAcentral. Lineage: Eukaryota; Viridiplantae; Streptophyta; Magnoliopsida; Fabales; Fabaceae.